AUCUAAAUAGUUUAAUAAAAAUAUUGGUUUGUGGUGCCGAUGAUAUAAUGUAUUUAUUUUAGAUU
Molecule: transfer RNA, 65 nt
Filed under: Sphaerotermes sphaerothorax
Lineage: Eukaryota; Metazoa; Arthropoda; Insecta; Blattodea; Termitidae
Description: tRNA-His
Source: RNAcentral